This 955-nucleotide ribosomal RNA is filed under the name uncultured archaeon. RNAcentral describes it as "bacterial SSU rRNA". It matches the Rfam family "Archaeal small subunit ribosomal RNA", at positions 1 to 934 of the family's 1478-position model. The record is from RNAcentral.
UUUUCCGCCUGAUCCUGCCGGACCCCACUGCUAUCGGGAUGGGACUAAGCCAUGCUAGUCAAGCGCUCUUUAGCCAUGAUACGAGUGCGGCGCACAGCUCAGUAACACGUAGCUAACCUGCCCUCGGGACGGAGAUAACCCCGGGAAACUGGGGCUAAUACUCGAUAGGUGAGGGGGCCUGGAAUGGUUUCUCGCCUAAAGGAUGUGGAGCCAUGCUUCCAAUAUCGCCCGAGGAUGGGGCUGCGGCCGAUCAGGUAGUUGGUGAGGUAACGGCUCACCAAGCCUUUAACCGGUACGGGCCGUGAGAGCGGGAGCCCGGAGAUGGGCACUGAGACAAGGACCUAGGCCCUACGGGGCGCAGCAGUCGCGAAAACUCCGCAAUGCGCGCAAGCGCGACGGGGCUACCCCGAGUGCCGUCCGCUGAGGAUGGCUUUUCUCUGGUGUAAUGAGCCGGAGGAAUAAGGGGAGGGCAAGACUGGUGUCAGCCGCCGCGGUAAUACCAGCUCCCCGAGUGGUGGGGAUGUUUAUUUGGCCUAAAGCGUCCGUAGCCUGCUCAGUAAGUCCUCCGUUAAAUCCAACGAUCUAAUCGUUGGGCUGCGGGGGAUACUGCAGGGCUAGGGGGCGGGAGAAGUCGACGGUACUCUUGGGGUAGGGGUGAAAUCCUAUAAUCCCAGGAGGACAACCAGUGGCGAAGGCGGUCGGCUAGAACGCGCCCGACGGUGAGGGACGAAAGCGUGGGGAGCGAUCCGGAUUAGAUACCCGGGUAGUCCACGCUGUAAACGAUGCAGGCUAGGUGUUGGCGUGACUACGGGUCACGCUAGUGCCGCAGGGAAGCCGUUAAGCCUGCCGCCUGGGAAGUACGGUCGCAAGACUGAAACUUAAAGGAAUUGGCGGGGGAGCACCACAAGGGGUGAAGCUUGCGGUUCAAUUGGAUUCAACGCCGGGAAUCACUAGU